RNAcentral lists this unclassified non-coding RNA (378 nucleotides) under plant metagenome. Its description in RNAcentral is "partial contains 5.8S ribosomal RNA, internal transcribed spacer 2, and large subunit ribosomal RNA". The stretch from base 1 to 105 matches the Rfam family "5.8S ribosomal RNA", at positions 50 to 154 of the family's 154-position model. The record is from RNAcentral.
GAAAUGCGAUAAGUAAUGUGAAUUGCAGAAUUCAGUGAAUCAUCGAAUUUUUGAACGCACCUUGCGCUCCUUGGUAUUCCUUGGAGCAUGCCUGUUUGAGUAUCAUGAAAUCUUCAAAGUAAAUCUUUUGUUAACUCAAUUGGUUUCUACUUUGGUAUUGGAGGUCUUUGCAGCUUCACACCUGCUCCUCUUUGUUCAUUAGCUGGAUCUCAGUGUUAUGCUUGGUUCCACUCGGCGUGAUAAGUUAUCUAUCGCUGAGGACACUGUAAAAGGUGGCCAAGGUAAAUGCAGAUGAUCCGCUUCUAAUAGUCCAUUGACUUGGACAAUACUUUUAUGAUCUGAUCUCAAAUCAGGUAGGACUACCCGCUGAACUUAAGC